This is a long non-coding RNA of Hippocampus comes (tiger tail seahorse), 449 nucleotides long. RefSeq lists it as uncharacterized. Lineage: Eukaryota; Metazoa; Chordata; Actinopteri; Syngnathiformes; Syngnathidae. The transcript has 3 exons. The record is from RefSeq and is a predicted model, not a curated record.
AACAUUAACACCAUUUAUAUGGACAUACACGAUAUGGACAAAAAGUAUUGGGGAACACCUUUUAACCUGAAUUGACACUGAAUUUGCUAAUAUACUGGUUUAAUAAGGGGUACACUGAUGGAUCAUCAGGUACAGAAGUAUUGGCUUUGCAAAUGCUGGUAAAAAGUGGUACUGCUUAACCGCACUGUGCCAACUGAAACGUUUGGUAGAGGAGGGUUCAUGGUUUUUUUUUUUUUUGUCAUUCCUUGACAAAGGCGCUUACUUCCAGGGAUUUUGAAUGGACAUUUUCAGCUUACCAAGACUUUUUGCACAAUAGGAAGUGAAUGACUUGUUAGGCAUGUUAGUCCUGAAGCAGUUAAUCUUACGGAUGGGUUUGAUCCACACUUCAACGAACCCAACACACUGUACAUGUUUUUGGACUGUGUGAGAAUGUCUGUACGCAAACACUA